CAGGUGCGGAGUUGUGAGCCACCGGCGCUGACCCAAAACCGAGACCCCAAACAGACAAGUUCACUUAGCCCCUAGCCUAGCCCGAGGCCCCUCUGUUCCAGCCUUCUUGCGUCCCUUAUGUUUUCCAGAUGCGCUGACUCAACGUAAAAUAUCCUAAAUGUCAAUCUGUGUCCCCAUCGUCCUAAGGGUGCUUGUUUGCUCGUGGCUUUUGGGGAUCAAGCUCAGGUCCUUGUGCUUUUGAGAUGAACACUUAGCAGAAGCCAGCUCCCCAGUCCUGAACAGACACUAAAUGAGAUUAAGAUGGUCCCUGAUCAAGGAUGACAAGCGAACAUAUUAAAAAAAAAAAAUCUCGCCUUUGUGACUGACUGCGUCUAGUUAUCUCAGGGAGCACCCUUAGAAAACCUAAGCUGCCCUACAAGAGUCAGGCUCCUUUAAGGCCCUUCCUUAUCUCGGAGGCGGAACCGGAAGCGCGAGGACGCGGUGCCCAACAUGGCGGCCG
Molecule: long non-coding RNA, 499 nt
Filed under: Rattus norvegicus (Norway rat)
Lineage: Eukaryota; Metazoa; Chordata; Mammalia; Rodentia; Muridae
Description: long non-coding RNA NONRATT023405
Source: RNAcentral